UUCUGCCCAGUGCCCUGAACGUCAAAGUGAAGAAGUUCAAUGACACAUGGAUAAAUGGCGGGAGUAACUACAAUUCUCUUAAGGUAGCCAAACAUUCUGUCAUCUAAUCAGGGAAAUGCAUGAACGGA
Callipepla squamata (scaled quail) is the source of this 128-nucleotide ribosomal RNA. It matches the Rfam family "Eukaryotic large subunit ribosomal RNA", at positions 2196 to 2323 of the family's 3401-position model. The record is from Rfam. Lineage: Eukaryota; Metazoa; Chordata; Aves; Galliformes; Odontophoridae.